This 445-nucleotide ribosomal RNA is filed under the name uncultured Anaerolineaceae bacterium. Its description in RNAcentral is "bacterial SSU rRNA". It matches the Rfam family "Bacterial small subunit ribosomal RNA", at positions 923 to 1382 of the family's 1533-position model. Lineage: Bacteria; Bacillati; Chloroflexota; Anaerolineae; Anaerolineales; Anaerolineaceae. The record is from RNAcentral.
GCACAAGCAGCGGAGCGUGUGGUUUAAUUCGAUGCUACACGAAGAACCUUACCAGGUUUGACAUGCAAGUGGUAGGAAUCGUGAAAAGGGACCGACCCUUCGGGGAGCUUGCACAGGUGCUGCAUGGCUGUCGUCAGCUCGUGUCGUGAGAUGUUCGGUUAAGUCCGCUAACGAGCGCAACCCUCACUGUGUGUUAUAUGUGUCACACGGGACUGCCGGUUUUAAGCCGGAGGAAGGUGGGAUGACGUCAAGUCAGCAUGGCCUUUAUAUCCUGGGCUACACACACGCUACAAUGGUCGGUACAAUAGGUUGCCAAGCCGCGAGGCGGAGUCAAUCCACAAAGCCGGCCUCAGUUCAGAUUGUAGGCUGCAACUCGCCUGCAUGAAGUCGGAGUUGCUAGUAAACGCAGGUCAGCUAUACUGCGUUGAAUACGUUCCCGGGGCUU